UAGAGGAAGGGAGAAGUCGUAACAAGGUUUCCGUAGGUGAACCUGCGGAAGGAUCAUUGUCGUGACCCUGACCAAAACAGACCGCGCACGCGUCAUCCUGCCCGCCGGGCGGCGGCACCGUCUGUCGCCCAGCCAAAGUCCUCGAAARCCUCCUCUCUUCGGAGGGGCGGCUCGGGGUAAAAGAACCCACGGCGCCGAAGGCGUCAAGGAACACUGUGCCUAACCCGGGGACGCGGCUGGCUUGCUGGCCGCACCUUGGGUUGCAAUGCUAUAUAAUCCACACGACUCUCGGCAACGGAUAUCUCGGCUCUCGCAUCGAUGAAGAACGUAGCGAAAUGCGAUACCUGGUGUGAAUUGCAGAAUCCCGCGAACCAUCGAGUCUUUGAACGCAAGUUGCGCCCGAGGCCUUCUGGCCGAGGGCACGCCUGCCUGGGCGUCACGCCAAACACGCUCCCACCCCACUAAACAUGGGGCGGGAUGCGGCAUGUGGCUCUCCAUCUCGCAAGGGGCGGUGGGCCGAAGAUCCGGCUGCCGGCGUAUCGUKCCGGACACAGCGCGUGGUAGGCGAUCUCGCUAUACUAAACGCAGUGCAUCCGGGACGUAGCCGACGCAAUGCCCUCAAUGGACCCUAUUAACGGAGCGCACGACGUUUCGACCGCGACCCCAGGUCAGGCGGGACUACCCGCUGAAUUUAAGCAUAUCAAUAAGCGGAGGA
Molecule: ribosomal RNA, 715 nt
Filed under: Festuca idahoensis x Festuca roemeri
Lineage: Eukaryota; Viridiplantae; Streptophyta; Magnoliopsida; Poales; Poaceae
Description: eukaryotic LSU rRNA
Source: RNAcentral